AUUGAACGCUGGCGGCAUGCCUUACACAUGCAAGUCGAACGGUAACAGGUCUUCGGAUGCUGACGAGUGGCGAACGGGUGAGUAAUACAUCGGAACGUGCCUAGUAGUGGGGGAUAACUACUCGAAAGAGUGGCUAAUACCGCAUGAGAUCUACUGAUGAAAGCAGGGGAUCGCAAGACCUUGUGCUACUAGAGCGGCCGAUGGCAGAUUAGGUAGUUGGUGGGAUAAAAGCUUACCAAGCCGACGAUCUGUAGCUGGUCUGAGAGGACGAUCAGCCACACUGGGACUGAGGCACGGCCCAGACUCCUACGGGAGGCAGUAGUGGGGAAUUUUGGACAAUUGGCGAAAGCCUGAUCCAGCAAUGCCGCGUGCAGGAUGAAGGCCUUCGGGUUGUAAACUGCUUUUGUACGGAACGAAAAGCCCCGGGUUAAUACCCUGGGGUCAUGGCGGUACCGUAAGAAUAAGCACCGGCUAACUACGUGCCAGCCGCCGCCGUAA
This 498-nucleotide ribosomal RNA is filed under the name uncultured bacterium. Its description in RNAcentral is "partial 16S ribosomal RNA". It matches the Rfam family "Bacterial small subunit ribosomal RNA", at positions 30 to 523 of the family's 1533-position model. The record is from RNAcentral.